Molecule: long non-coding RNA, 668 nt
Organism: Scatophagus argus
Lineage: Eukaryota; Metazoa; Chordata; Actinopteri; Scatophagidae
Exons: 3
Source: RefSeq, a predicted model, not a curated record
CUUUUAAUGCCAGCUCUGCGUCGUUGAUACGGUCUGUCUUCUCCUCUUCUGCGCUUGCCGGUGCUGGUUCUGUCGGGUCCGCCAUUGAGACACCCGACACCGGAGGCGAGGAACUGAAGGAGGGAGGGGAUGUGCGAUUGCACAUGGUUGGCAGUGGAUGUGGUCCCUACGAUGAUGAUGCGGCGAGGUGCAUUCGUUCAGCCUGGACACUCUCUGAGGUUGACUGGACCGAACACACCAGACAGCCUGUCAAAAGAAACCGGCUCGCUGUUGAUCCUCAUGUCCUGGAUGCAUCCCACAAAGGACGAUGUGACGGGGAGCUCCUGUUGCACUGACAUCUCUGCAGCAGGAAGGUGCAUUGGGGUGGACUGACAGCCUGAUCCUGCCUUUGGAUAUGUAUAAAGCGAGGUGAGAGCGCCCUCCUCUGGUAGCAGCAAAGAACAGCAGGCCCUCAGCAGCUCGGGUCCUGACGUCCAGAGAAAAGUGGGGCCUGGGGAGGAUCAAGAGGGACAUCAUCUGUUGUGUUGUGCUUGUGCCAGCUCUGACAUAACUGUAGCAUUAUUCUAGAGAUACUGGACCCAACUAAACACACUCUGAAAUCGAGACAUCUUACAUUCAUGUGUAUUGUGAAAUCGUGCAGUGAGGUAAGACAGGCAGCUCACCUGGGC